RNAcentral lists this transfer RNA (63 nucleotides) under Galerucinae sp. 7 ACP-2013. RNAcentral's name for it is "tRNA-Ser". The record is from RNAcentral. Lineage: Eukaryota; Metazoa; Arthropoda; Insecta; Coleoptera; Chrysomelidae.
AGAAGUAAGUUAUCAAGAAUAAGCUUCUAACUUAAUUCUUAAGCAAUAAAUUGUUUUUACUUC